CAGCCGCCGCGGGAAUACGAAGGGUGCAAGCGUUAAUCGGAAUUACUGGGCGUAAAGCGUGCGUAGGCGGUGAGUUAAGUCUGCUGUGAAAUCCCCGGGCUCAACCUGGGAAUGGCAGUGGAUACUGGCUCGCUAGAGUGUGUCAGAGGAUGGUGGAAUUCCCGGUGUAGCGGUGAAAUGCGUAGAGAUCUGGAGGAAUACCGGUGGCGAAGGCGGCCCCCUGGACGAAGACUGACGCUCAGGUACGAAAGCGUGGGGAGCAAACAGGAUUAGAUACCCGCGUAGUCCCUGUCUCUUAUAC
This 301-nucleotide ribosomal RNA is filed under the name uncultured bacterium. RNAcentral's name for it is "partial 16S ribosomal RNA". It matches the Rfam family "Bacterial small subunit ribosomal RNA", at positions 509 to 807 of the family's 1533-position model. The record is from RNAcentral.